ACUUUUCGAUCUGUUAGAAUUAGGCUCUGUGCUUCCCUUUGGUGCUCAGAGAACAAAAGUGAUUCUCUCCAUGAUCAGAGGUGGAAUUGGCUCUUUCUAGCCUCCUCCUCACUGAAGACAGGAACUAUUCUUCAGGCCCCCUGAACUGUUUCUUCUUUUUUGGCUAUGGUGAUGGUUUCCAAAGAGAACUCUGCUUGUAGUAUCAACCCUCCAGACGUUAGGAGAGUUACUUGAAAAAAUAGUGUUAUGUUCAGCGAGCUUGGGAAGAGUUGGAAAAGAAUUCACAAAUGAAUGGUUGGUGUACACACUGCAAGGCUUCUCAGUGUUUAUCGCCAGUAAUAGAGUUUUUUCAAGCUUAUUUGACCAAAUAACUUUUUUUUUUUUUUUCCCAAGGAACGGUUUGUGACACUAGCUUACCAGAGAAUACAUUGUGGGAAAUGCUCUGCUCCAAAGCCGAAGAGCUAAGGCUCUUUGCGUAUCCAAUAAGCACCUGACACCUCCUCCCUCCCUUUCAGUUUCCAUAAUAGAAGAUGUGAAAACUAAAUGAAACGCAUGCUUUCUUACACUGUUUUGCAUCUAGGGGUAGCUAUUAUAUGAGACAGUCUGGGCCAGUAACACCUAAAGGCAAUUCUUAGCGGACUCUUACAAGAAUACUGAUUUCCCUUGUAAGGGGGUGCCAUGCAUGGAGCUCUUGCACAUACAUCAGUAAGAGGCCUGAGGAAGUUGGCUCCGGCAUAGGUGAGCGCUGGAGGAAUGCUAGGAACAGUCUAUGCAUACUUUUAGUAACACGUAGAAAUGAAAAGCAAACAAGUCAUAUAAAGUCUCUGAAAAGCAAGUUUACUUGCAGCUGAACACUCUUCUAAAAGAUUUAUCUACCAUCUAUUGAGUGCUUUCCUUGUGUUCCUAGGAAGCAUUUAAUACAUAUGAAUUCGGCCACUCCUCACAACACUGUAAUACCAUUUCACAGGUGAGGAAGCAGACUUAAGUACCUUGUUCAAAUUCACACAGAUGAUGGACUAACCUUUGGAAAUGUAGCCACUAUAACCCCAGAAGUUAUUAAUGUUUCUCAUUUUAAAUUAGGCAGUUAGUGUCCUCUUUUAAAACAGAGCCCUCACCGUCUGCCAUGAGAUGUGGAAGAGACAUGUAUAAGCCUUUUCAGAGAGAGGGCCCGCACCCAGUGUAGCUUUACAGCAGCCAGUGUGGGUUUACGGCACCCAGUGCAGAUUUACGGCAGCCAGUGUGGGUUUACGGCAGCCUGCCUCUUCACACAUUGCAUGGAGGGGAGCAGAGCCAGGCAGGCGUGGCAGCUUCUCUCCAGAGACUGACAUCCACAGACUAAGGUUACACCGUUAAGCUCACUUUAGAUCCCAGUAGUGGGCCCAUUGGCAUAUUACAGGAUGCAAACCUGAGGAGCGCAACUAAUGAAGGUAAUUCAGACUAAAGUGUGAAAAUACUGGGAGCACCCGAGUCCACUUGUUUGCCUUUAAAUAAGCCCCAGUGUGCCAGGUAACGUGAUAU
This 1518-nucleotide long non-coding RNA is filed under the name Capra hircus (goat). Its description in RNAcentral is "lncRNA (ENSCHIG00010013777.1)". The record is from RNAcentral. Lineage: Eukaryota; Metazoa; Chordata; Mammalia; Artiodactyla; Bovidae.